This 1166-nucleotide ribosomal RNA is filed under the name uncultured organism. RNAcentral's name for it is "bacterial SSU rRNA". It matches the Rfam family "Bacterial small subunit ribosomal RNA", at positions 29 to 1158 of the family's 1533-position model. The record is from RNAcentral.
AUGAACGCUGGCGGCGUGCUUAACACAUGCAAGUCGAACGAGAAAUCUUUAGCUUGCUAGAGAAAGUAAAGUGGCGCACGGGUGAGUAACGCGUGGGUAAUCUGCCUCCGAAUCGGGGAUAACAUUGCGAAAGCGAUGCUAAUACCGGAUAAAAUCUGGUUGGCUUCGGUGAACCGGAUCAAAGGUGGUCUCUUUAUAAAAGCUACCGUUUGGAGAUGAGCUCGCGUACCAUUAGCUAGUUGGUGAGGUAAAGGCUCACCAAGGCGACGAUGGUUAGCUGGUCUGAGAGGAUGAUCAGCCACACCGGAACUGGAACACGGUCCGGACUCCUACGGGAGGCAGCAGUGAGGAAUUUUGCGCAAUGGGGGAAACCCUGACGCAGCAACGCCGCGUGAGUGAUGAAGGCUUUCGGGUCGUAAAGCUCUGUCAGGUGGGAAGAACCCACCAAGUGUUAAGACCACUUGGUGCUGACGGUACCACCGAAGGAAGCACCGGCUAACUCCGUGCCAGCAGCCGCGGUAAUACGGGGGGUGCGAGCGUUAUUCGGAAUCAUUGGGCGUAAAGGGCGCGCAGGCGGUUUUGUAAGUCAGAUGUGAAAUCCCGGGGCUUAACCCCGGAAGUGCAUAUGAAACUAUGAGACUUGAGUAUGGGAGAGGGAAGCGGAAUUCCUGGUGUAGCGGUGAAAUGCGUAGAUAUCAGGAGGAACACCGGUGGCGAAGGCGGCUUCCUGGACCAAUACUGACGCUGAGGCGCGAAGGCGUGGGGAGCGAACAGGAUUAGAUACCCUGGUAGUCCACGCAGUAAACGUUGAUCACUAGGUGUAGCGGGUAUUGACCCCUGCUGUGCCGGAGUUAACGCAUUAAGUGAUCCGCCUGGGGAGUACGAUCGCAAGAUUAAAACUCAAAGGAAAUUGACGGGGGGGCCCGCACAAGCGGUGGAGCAUGUGGUUUAAUUCGACGCAACGCGAAGAACCUUACCUGGACUUGACAUCUCGGGAAUUCCGUUGAAAGACGGGAGUGCCUUUAACGAGGAAUCCGAUGACAGGUGCUGCAUGGCUGUCGUCAGCUCGUGUCGUGAGAUGUUGGGUUAAAGUCCCGCAACGAGCGCAACCCCUAUCUUCAGUUACCAUCAGGUGAUGCUGGGGACUUUGGAGAUACUGCCCCGGU